Molecule: unclassified non-coding RNA, 222 nt
Filed under: Hevea brasiliensis (rubber tree)
Lineage: Eukaryota; Viridiplantae; Streptophyta; Magnoliopsida; Malpighiales; Euphorbiaceae
Source: RNAcentral
CGUCCAUAAUAACACCGCCUCUGAGCAUCUGGGCUAGACCCACCUUGACGGAAAAGGGGGACUUCUUAGUUUCGGUGAUUGCUCCAUUACCGUAAACAGCCACCACCCCAGUUCCUGCCAUUUCUAUAUAAGAUGGAAGGAGAAGGAGCAGACCGAAGAUAUAUAUAGAGAGAGAAGGAGAGAUUAAUGGGUUUUUCGAGAGAGAGAGAGAGAGAGAGAGAG